GAAGCGAGCCGGAUCAUCGCGUCUUGCCUCGCGCAAGCGAAACGAGACGAGGAAAGUCCGAACACGAUAGAGCAGAGUAAGAGGUAACGCCUCUCGCUAGUGAUAGCGCUAUAGGGCCACAGAAACCAGGUCUGUUCCGCCCUGCGGAAUAAGAGUGAAAAGGGUAACCAGUACUCCGUGCAAAUGCAAAUAGGCUUACGCUUGUCCCGCUUUUAAAAAUUUUCAACGUUCUGGCGGGACAUGAAGAGCGGCUCGCUCGAGUAAGCGGGUAGCAUGCUCGAGGUUGCCGGCGACGGCAGCCCUAGAUAAAUGAUGAUCAGCCCGUUUCAGCGGGAUACAGAAUUCGGCUUACAGGCUCACUUCGACA
RNAcentral lists this RNase P RNA (367 nucleotides) under Candidatus Zhuqueibacterota bacterium. Its description in RNAcentral is "candidate division KSB1 bacterium (activated sludge metagenome) RNase P RNA component class A". It matches the Rfam family "Bacterial RNase P class A". Rfam says of the family: Ribonuclease P (RNase P) is a ubiquitous endoribonuclease, found in archaea, bacteria and eukarya as well as chloroplasts and mitochondria. The record is from RNAcentral. Lineage: Bacteria; Pseudomonadati.